ACCUAAUUUCCCUCUUCUAAUUUCUCUACUGGGUGGCCGGAAAUCGCCUUCGCCACCUACCACCUCUCACACACCACUCUCCCGCCCUUGACCACCAUUGACCGCCGCCAGAAAUUGCCCCAGGUGGUGGACCACCAUCAAACAACCCCAAAUUUUCACUAUACAACCUCCAUCUCCUCCUCAUCCCUAAUCUGUCACCCAUUUCCUCUAAAAACACCCGAGCUACACGAUUAGUAGAUCUAGGAUUUGUCGAAUAACCUAAAUCGACCCCUUCCCUUUUUCUAGUUGGUUUCGGCACUCUUGAAAUUGCAACUUACAUAAAUCGACCGCUCUUAGCAAAAGCUAUUGAUUGAUGUUGGUUGUAGUUCAUUUCCCGGUCACCGGUACCGGUCAAUCCACCGUUGACAACCAAAAUCGACCGAUACUUGUUGUUGUUUCCUUCAUCUAACUCUCAUGAGUCUUUCUUCCAAGAUGACCCCUCAGGAUUUCAAAUCCAAGACGAAUCUCUUGGAAGACAGACUUAUGAUAGUCCAGUAACAUGCGGUGGACAUCCCUAAAGUCCUCUGGCCCUUCGCCGUCGAGUGAUCUAGCCACAAGUUGGUUUGAUUGUAAGCUUAGGACCUAGAUAAGUCUUCAUCUUUGAUGGGUGAUAAUGUGGAGGUUGCAACUUUAUAAAUUCGACUAGGUAUCAGCCGAAAAUGAUGUCAUCAUGAUUGUUAUGAGAAAUGAUCAAAGGUUUUGUUCAUAAUUGGUGAUAUAAACAUUUUGUAAUCUACAUUUAGAAAUAAAAUGGUGUAUUCUGUAAUUUGUAUUGUAGCCACAUAUAAACGGCUAUUCGACUGGUUAUUUACAUAAAUCAUGAAUGCUGAAUUGAUAGAU
Long non-coding RNA from Nicotiana tabacum (common tobacco), 879 nucleotides. RefSeq lists it as uncharacterized. The record is from RefSeq and is a predicted model, not a curated record. NCBI's taxonomy places the organism in Eukaryota, Viridiplantae, Streptophyta, Magnoliopsida, Solanales, Solanaceae.